CAACCCUCAAGCUUUACUGCUUGGUUUUGAGGUUCUAUAAUUUUAUAGGCUUCUAAAUACAUUGGCGGAACGUCAAAAACUUCCAAGUGUAGUAAAUUUUAUUCAUUUAGAAAGUUUUGACGGUUUCUUGCCGUAAAACACAGGACCUUCGGGCCUAUUUUUACAA
This 166-nucleotide unclassified non-coding RNA is filed under the name Sporidesmiella novae-zelandiae. Its description in RNAcentral is "partial internal transcribed spacer 2". The record is from RNAcentral. Lineage: Eukaryota; Fungi; Ascomycota; Sordariomycetes; Junewangiaceae.